UACGAAGGGGGGCUAGCGUUGCUCGGAAUUACUGGGCGUAAAGGGAGCGUAGGCGGACAUUUAAGUCAGGGGUGAAAUCCCAGAGCUCAACUCUGGAACUGCCUUUGAUACUGGAUGUCUUGAGUGUGAGAGAGGUAUGUGGAACUCCGAGUGUAGAGGUGAAAUUCGUAGAUAUUCGGAAGAACACCAGUGGCGAAGGCGACAUACUGGCUCAUUACUGACGCUGAGGCUCGAAAGCGUGGGGAGCAAACAGG
RNAcentral lists this ribosomal RNA (254 nucleotides) under uncultured bacterium. RNAcentral's name for it is "partial 16S ribosomal RNA". It matches the Rfam family "Bacterial small subunit ribosomal RNA", at positions 524 to 776 of the family's 1533-position model. The record is from RNAcentral.